UAAUAAAUUAUAAAAGUACAAUAAUAAUGGCGGUCAAUUUAAUAUUUUUAUAAAAAAUACGCGCGCAAGGAUAAAUUUGAAAGGUAGUUGUAAAAAAGUUGGUUAGAUGUCGCCAGAGGGAGUGUUAUAACGUAAUUGAAGAUUUUAUUGGAUCAAUGUACCGGAUAAAUUUUCAUGAUGGCUGACAGUUUUUCUGGUUUUUAAUCAAGUGUAAUGAGUACGUGCCACAGAUCGAGUUAAAAAAUAAUAAAAUUGAGACAAUAACGUGUUGAAGAUCCCAAUAGGACAAUGGAUGACAGCCCAGCGACAAUCGUUGUUCAUCGCAGUACAUCGGCAGCAUCUCCAAUAAAGCUGAGGCAAAAGCAAUCAUGUCGUGAUUUGGGCAAGACGAGCUUUAAUUGAGAUAUUAUUACCAGAUGUUCUUGGGAAAAUUACUCAAGGAGGUAAACAGCACAAAGAUUGUAUUGUAUAUGCACGACUAGGGGCUUAUUCCUACUUUUGUUCUAUUCGUACUGUUAUGUUACGUUCCGUUAUGUUGUGUUAUAUUAUGUGUAAGAUGAUGUCACCCCAACAGUAAUUACCAAAGUUUCUAAUGCUAUGUAGAUAGGACAUAAUAAUAUGCAAGUACAUUUAUGUAUGCAUUGUUAUUAAAU
This 653-nucleotide long non-coding RNA is filed under the name Cotesia glomerata. RNAcentral's name for it is "uncharacterized LOC123266261, transcript variant X3". Lineage: Eukaryota; Metazoa; Arthropoda; Insecta; Hymenoptera; Braconidae. The record is from RNAcentral.